This 519-nucleotide ribosomal RNA is filed under the name uncultured bacterium. RNAcentral describes it as "bacterial SSU rRNA". It matches the Rfam family "Bacterial small subunit ribosomal RNA", at positions 12 to 524 of the family's 1533-position model. The record is from RNAcentral.
UUUGAUCCUGGCUCAGAUUGAACGCUGGCGGCAUGCCUUACACAUGCAAGUCGAACGGCAGCACGGAGCUUGCUCUGGUGGCGAGUGGCGAACGGGUGAGUAAUAUAUCGGAACGUACCCUGGAGUGGGGGAUAACGUAGCGAAAGUUACGCUAAUACCGCAUACGAUCUACGGAUGAAAGUGGGGGAUUCGCAAGAACCUCAUGCUCGUGGAGCGGCCGAUAUCUGAUUAGCUAGUUGGUAGGGUAAAAGCCUACCAAGGCAUCGAUCAGUAGCUGGUCUGAGAGGACGACCAGCCACACUGGAACUGAGACACGGUCCAGACUCCUACGGGAGGCAGCAGUGGGGAAUUUUGGACAAUGGGCGAAAGCCUGAUCCAGCAAUGCCGCGUGAGUGAAGAAGGCCUUCGGGUUGUAAAGCUCUUUUGUCAGGGAAGAAACGGUUGUCUCUAAUACAGAUGGCUAAUGACGGUACCUGAAGAAUAAGCACCGGCUAACUACGUGCCAGCAGCCGCGGUAAU